RNAcentral lists this Y RNA (103 nucleotides) under Gorilla gorilla gorilla (western lowland gorilla). It matches the Rfam family "Y RNA". Rfam says of the family: Y RNAs are components of the Ro ribonucleoprotein particle (Ro RNP), in association with Ro60 and La proteins. The Y RNAs and Ro60 and La proteins are well conserved, but the function of the Ro RNP is not known. In humans the RNA component can be one of four small RNAs -- hY1, hY3, hY4 and hY5. The record is from Rfam by way of RNAcentral. Lineage: Eukaryota; Metazoa; Chordata; Mammalia; Primates; Hominidae.
GGCUGGUGCGAAGAUAGUGAGUUAUCGCGACUGUUUGGUUACAGAUCAAAUGCCUUGUUCUACUUUAUUCCCCCUUCUCACUACUGCACUUGACUAGUCUAAA